RNAcentral lists this ribosomal RNA (301 nucleotides) under uncultured bacterium. RNAcentral's name for it is "partial 16S ribosomal RNA". It matches the Rfam family "Bacterial small subunit ribosomal RNA", at positions 509 to 807 of the family's 1533-position model. The record is from RNAcentral.
CAGCAGCCGCGGUAAUACGUAGGGUGCGAGCGUUAAUCGGAAUUACUGGGCGUAAAGCGUGCGCAGGCGGUUAUAUAAGACAGAUGUGAAAUCCCCGGGCUCAACCUGGGACCUGCAUUUGUGACUGUAUAGCUAGAGUACGGUAGAGGGGGAUGGAAUUCCGCGUGUAGCAGUGAAAUGCGUAGAUAUGCGGAGGAACACCGAUGGCGAAGGCAAUCCCCUGGACCUGUACUGACGCUCAUGCACGAAAGCGUGGGGAGCAAACAGGAUUAGAUACCCCUGUAGUCCCUGUCUCUUAUAC